This 505-nucleotide ribosomal RNA is filed under the name uncultured bacterium. Its description in RNAcentral is "partial 16S ribosomal RNA". It matches the Rfam family "Bacterial small subunit ribosomal RNA", at positions 28 to 507 of the family's 1533-position model. The record is from RNAcentral.
GACGAACGCUGGCGGCGUGCCUAAUACAUGCAAGUAGAACGCACAGUUUAUACCGUAGCUUGCUACACCAUAAACUGUGAGUUGCGAACGGGUGAGUAACGCGUAGGUAACCUGCCUGGUAGCGGGGGAUAACUAUUGGAAACGAUAGCUAAUACCGCAUAAUAUUGAUUAUUGCAUGAUAAUUGAUUGAAAGAUGCUAUUGCAUCACUACCAGAUGGCCCUGCGUUGUAUUAGCUAGUAGGUGAGGUAACGGCGCACCUAGGCGACGAUACAUAGCCGACCUGAGAGGGUGAUCGGCCACACUGGGACUGAGACACGGCCCAGACUCCUACGGGAGGGAGCAGUAGGGAAUCUUCGGCAAUGGGCGAAAGACUGACCGAGAAACGCCGCGUGAGGGAAGAAGGUUUUCGGAUCGUAAAGCUCUGUUGUAAGAGAAGAACGGGUGUGAGAGUGGAAAGUUCACACUGUGACGGUAUCUUACCAGAAAGGGACGGCUAACUACGUG